Molecule: ribosomal RNA, 462 nt
Filed under: Triticum aestivum (bread wheat)
Lineage: Eukaryota; Viridiplantae; Streptophyta; Magnoliopsida; Poales; Poaceae
Description: partial small subunit ribosomal RNA
Source: RNAcentral
AUGGAACAGUUUCUUCUCAAAAGAAAAGCAUCAUCACAGGAUGUUCCGGAAGACAUAAAUUGGGAAGAGGAGAUUCAAUAUGAUCCGGGCAAGAGAAAAUUGAUAGAGCAUUAUCAUCCUAAUUUAGAAGAUCUGGUAAGAAGGAAGUAUUUGUUGAAUGGACCUUGUCAGCCAAGAGAGAUUGAUUUUGAAUCCUCAGAUUUUGGGGGUAAACAAAGAAAGUUCAAUCCCGAAUGGUUUGAUGAAUUUGAGAGCUGGGAUCGUAGUCAGAAGAAAGAAGCUGGAUAUGAGGCAUUCGUUGUGAAUGGUUGGAAGAGCUGGAACAUGAAAUCAAUGUUAAAAGAACAUGUUGGUGAGGUGGGCAGUGUCCAUAAUCAAGCAACGAAGAAAUUACUUGAUUUUCAGAAGAAAAAAAAGAUCAAUACAUUGAUGUUGCUAUGCAGGUUCAAGGUGAAACUUUGA